Molecule: long non-coding RNA, 970 nt
Organism: Tribolium castaneum (red flour beetle)
Lineage: Eukaryota; Metazoa; Arthropoda; Insecta; Coleoptera; Tenebrionidae
Exons: 4
Source: RefSeq, a predicted model, not a curated record
CUUUAUGGAGAAAUGGCUUAAAGCAUACGUUCGCAUCCAAUGGCUAGUAAGCGAGUCAUUGCAGAAGGGGCUAUACCUACAUGAAUAGCAUCUUUAUAUAAAAAGAUUAGUUAUUUGGAUAACAGUGUUGUGUUCAACAUAGUGAGAGAGAAUUGUUUUGUGAAAAAUCUAAUAAGGAUUGUUUAAGAAGUCCGAAAACUGUUUCAAAAUGGAUUUGGAAAGUCGUUUGGAAAAUUAUUGUUAUAUAAAGCGUUUUUUAUCUUACAUUCGUGACAAACAUGGAGAAGAUAUAGCUGCCAAAGUAGAGAACUUUCUCGACAAUUACUGUUCUAAAAAAGAUAAAGAAUAUCUGGUUUCAGUUACAACCUACUAUACAGAGUAUAUAACGAAGAAAAAAUGAAAAAUGUUAGUCCUGUUUUAGAUUGUUAUGUAAUAAGUAAUAAACGUAGGUACAUACGUCCAAGCGGAAAGAAAAACAUACCUACUACAAAGUAUGAAUGGAACACUGUAAUGUUUCUUCCGGACAACUUGCCGGCUUUUAGUUUGUUUUGAAAGAAAAAGUCUAAAAGUUACAAUGCAAUGCAUCUUAUAUUCUUGAAAUUUUCAAUUUACUGUUGAGCAUGUACUUACUCGUUAUUAUAUAUAGUGAAGAUUUAAUUUUGCUGAACAGUGGCGUUUCUAUGGAACUGUUUGCAAUGCACUGACAUGGACUUUUUAAAACAGAAGAUACGAUAAUAUACAAUUCACAGUGUUAUACCUGUUAUGUAAUGUUCAGCGAAGUAAACUCUUUACCCUAUAAUACAGGCGAUCUUAAAAACUCUAAGUAAUGUAUUCAUAUAAUUUUUUUAAAAUUGAACAUAAGAUUAAAUAGUCUCAUGACUCAUGAGUAUUAUCUGUGUUAUGCGAUGUUCAGUAAAAUUAAAACCACAGUGUAUAUUCAAUUUAUAAAUAUUAAAUGUACCUACCUAAA